UGGCCUUGUACUGUUGGAGCAAGGUCAGUGCAGUACAUGUUUACAGCAGUCAGCUGAGUGGUGACUAGUUCAUAGAAGUACUUGCUUUAUCAAGACUUGUAUGAACACUAGUGCUGGACAACAUCCCUCAGUGAAGGUGCCCCUAACUCGGCUGUUGUUGUCAGCAUGUUGAAGUAGAGCAGAAUGAGCAAAGCGUGGUGUGCUGACCCUGGUCGCUGGGGCACAGCAUCCUGCCCCCAUGUUGUCCAGGCUCCCACGGUUAUUGCCAUGGUCGGGCUGCCGGCUAGAGGCAAGACUUACAUCUCCAAGAAGCUGACACGCUACCUGAACUGGAUCGGAGUCAGUACGAAAGUGUUCAAUGUUGGAGAGUAUCGUCGUGCAGCUACCAACAAAUACCGCAGCCAUGACUUCUUCCGCCCAGACAACAAGGAGGCCCAGGAGAUACGAACGAAGUGUGCUUUACUGGCCAUGGAGGAUGCGUGCAAGUUCCUGGAGAACGGGGGAGAGGUUGGGGUGGUAGAUGCGACCAACACGACCCGUGAGAGGAGGAAGAUGCUCGUCAACAUGUUUACAGUGGAUCAUCAGUUCAAGCUGUUCUUUGUGGAGUCCAUCUGUGAUGAUCCCGAAGUGGUGGAGGCCAAUAUAAAGGAAGUGAAGGUGUGUAGCCCGGACUACAAGGGGAUGGACACCAACGAGGCUGUGAAGGAUUUCAUGCAGCGUAUAGAGCACUACAACGAGACAUACGAGCCCCUGGACUGGAGCCACGACAGAGACUUGUCAUUCAUACAGAUAUUCAAUCAAGGAGAGAGGUUCCUAGUCAACAAAUUAGCAGGUCAUCUACAGAGUAGAGUGGUGUAUUACCUAAUGAAUAUUCACGUUCUUCCUCGGACCAUCUACCUCACAAGGCAUGGAGAAAGCAUGAUGAACCUUCAAGGCCGGAUUGGAGGAGACAGCGAUAUAUCAGAGCGAGGCCAGACCUAUGCAGAAGCUCUGAAACGCUACAUUGAGAAGGAGAACAUUCCCAACCUGAAAGUGUGGACGUCCCAGAUGAAGAGGACAAUCCAGACUGCCAAGUUCAUUGAGGCGUCAAAGGAGCACUGGAAGGCCCUCAAUGAGAUAGAUGCGGGUAUCUGUGAAGGGAUGACCUACGAGGAGAUCCAGGAGAAAUACCCUGAGGAUUUUGCUCUGCGGGACCAAGACAAGUUCCAUUACCGCUACCCCAGUGGGGAGUCUUACCAAGACCUGGUUGCCCGCCUGGAACCUGUGAUACUGGAACUGGAGAGACAGGAAAAUGUGUUGGUUGUGUGUCACCAGGCUGUUGCCCGCUGUCUACUUGCUUACUUCCAGGACAAAUCGGCAGAACAUAUCCCUCACGUCCCUGUCCCGUUUGAGAAGGUCGUGAAAAUGAAAAUGAAGGGCCAUUGCUGCGAGUGCGAACACAUACCACUGCUCAGAGGAUCUGCCAUAUUUGAAGGUUCCGCUACAUACCGUGAUAAAGUUAACCCCGGUAGCCUAUGGUUGUAGAGUGGAGCUGAUCUCCUUGAACAUUGAAGCAGUGAACACUCACAGGGAGAAACCCAAGAUGUUUGAGUUCUGACUGGAUCAUCAUCAACUUCAUAUUUUGUCUUGCCUUCAUCUGUCGACGUCUGCAAGACUGUCCUAGCCAAUGGGUCCAUUAGCACCAUUGAGGCCACCACUUGCUCUUGCUUUGAGUAAUGGCUUGUAGCCUUGACCUUUGCCACCACCAACGUAGAUCGUAAUGGAUGACCAGGGUCUUUCAGCAGGAUGACAUAGCAUAGGGUGCUUGAAGAUGCUCUUUUAGUGAUACAUGAUUCAUUCCAGUGUGGUAUAGUUGAGGAGGAAGACUCCUGAAAGCAGGAACACAAACUUCAUUUCUCUCCACUCGCCCGAAUGUGACAGAUAAACUUAAGAAGUUUCUACUCAAUGAACGAUAUUUUAAACAAAAGGUAGUUUGCUUCAUGCAAAGAGUGCCUCAUGUCUUCCUGUAAUAAAUACAGAUGUGUGUAUUCUACUUUCUCUACCACAAGAUGGUGCUCAUCAGUAGUUUCAGCUGUGUGUAUGAAGAGAAACUGACCAAUCUAUGUUUGUUGUGUCUGGGAAUGUGUGAGCGUGAUACUGCAGGGAAUGUACAUGGUAUGAGUCUGAAGUCACUGAGAUCCAUUGCUAUUGUCCUACAACUACAGAUGUGUCCUUCAAGAAGCGUUCAGCUGCUGAAGAAACACUUCAGUGAAAGUGGCAUCUCCUCCCGUUUGUUUUUUGUCUAUUUCUUUGUCAAUCAAUUGUUGGUCAAGUUACCAGUGUAAUUAGUCGUUGACCUUUUCAUGUGUUUUAUUCAAGUUGACUUUCUUCUCACAUGCUUGCCCAGUGUUUGAUUGUCUUUCAUUCUUAUUUCCUAAAAUUAUUACUUCUGGACGCUGAUGUAGCCUUAGUUAUACAUGUAUAAUGAGUGACUAGUCAUUCUCCAUAUCCAGACUGUUGGCUGAUAUUAUUGUGAUCAUUGAGAGGAGUCUAGAUGUUCCAUGUAAGGUGCAGUAAUAUGUGUUGAUUCUACAAGCCCAAACCUGUCCUUUGUCUAUACUGAAGUUGAUUGUUUAUUUAUGGAUGGGCUUAUAUUACCAAAAAUCACUAGACUUGGCCUGUAGCCUCUGUAUGACGUUUGUAAAUGUCAUGUUUUAAAGUGGAACUGAUUGUUUUUGUUUUAAUCUGUUCAUCAUCCAUUUCUGUGGUACAACUGGAAAGUUCAGUAUGUUAUCGAAUAUUAGAAGUUUCAUGAGCUAAUACAUUUGUCAAAAUUUUAACAACUUGCUUGAUCAAUAACUGUGAAAUAUGGUUUACGUUUAUGACAUAACGUAGAUUUUCUUUGAUUGACCGAUCAGGUUUCAUGUUGAUGUGGUAAUCUAGCUAGUGGUUACUUUGUGGCUUUCCUAGCUGUGGGAUACAUAGUGUUAAGCCCUUUCUUCAUCUCGCUGGUGUAUCGCUAGAAGCUGCAUACAUCAUUACUCACUCACUCAUCACUGAAGGGCCAAUCCUAGCAGUCUCAGCAGAUUUAUGAAAUACUUUGUUUUUGAAUGAUACCCAUGCUUCUUUUACCUGCCUCUUACAACAUAGUAGGCCUUCCGGUACUUCCUGUAUGUCAGUUACAGCUAACAAAUAUGACAAUCUUCCACUGCUAUUUUGGCGAUGUUGCACAUGCUGCUGAUCAUGUGUGCUGAUGUUCUUGUUCUCCCUGACAAUGCUUAUAUAUCAGUUAUGCCAAAGUAUCAUAUGUAUAUUAAUUUUAUGACUCUAUAUUUGAUGUUAACAAAAGGAUAAUGUACAGUGAAUAACUGCCAUCUCAAGCAGAUGUCAUAUGUCGAAUCUGUAGCUUAGACCAACAGGAUAUCAAGGCAGGCUAUUUUAGAUUAAAAACUUCAUGAAACCUUUUUGCCAUUUCUGAUUACUGAACCUUUUGAGACCCAAAUUAAGACAAAUGGUUUAUCACAACACAGUUCAUGCUUGUAUCAUCCCAAUGGCACAUUUUCACCAUUUGAAUUACAGAUAUAUUCAUUUCCAUCAAAAUGAAAUAAGAGACAAGUUAAUUUUAAAGUCAUAUCUAGAGUAGAGUAAUGCCCCAGGCAUGUUCAUAGCUUACUGUCGUUCUGUGUACCUACUAUGAAAUAGUAUUUUCCAUUAUUCAAGAUAAAAAAGAUGAUCUAAUGGUUCUUAUAUUUAAAUGUAUGUCAGUGUAUUUUUAAACCAAGAUGUCAUAAUUUUCCCACCUGCAAGUGACUGAAAAGUGGAAGCUACAAAUACUUUUAUUUUUUAAUUAAUAUAUAUAUA
Haliotis rubra (blacklip abalone) is the source of this 3840-nucleotide RNA transcript. It is a transcript of the gene named 6-phosphofructo-2-kinase/fructose-2,6-bisphosphatase-like, with no coding region annotated. Lineage: Eukaryota; Metazoa; Mollusca; Gastropoda; Lepetellida; Haliotidae. The transcript has 16 exons. The record is from RefSeq and is a predicted model, not a curated record.